CUCCCAGUCCAAUUCCAGUCCCUCCCAGUCCUUCUCAAUCCCAUUUCAUUCCAUCCCAGUACAUCCCAGUUCCUCCCAGUACAUCCCAGUCCCUCCCAGUCCCUCCCAAUUCCUUCCCAGUCCCUUUCCAGUCCAUCCCAGUCCCUCCCAGUCUCCUCCCAGUACAUCCAAGUCCCUCCCAGUCCCCCCAAUUCCCUCCCAGUCCCUUUCCAGUGCCUCCCAGUCCAAUUCCAGUCACUCCCAGUCCUUCUCAAUCCCAUUUCAUUCCAUCCCAGUCCCUCCCAGUCCUUUCCAGUCCCUCCCAGUCCCUCCCAGUCCUUUCCAGUCCCUCCCAGUCCUUUCCAGUCCCUCCCAGUCCCUUUCCAGUUCCCUCCCAGUCCAAUUCCAGUCCUUCCCAGUCCUUCUCAAUCCCAUUUCAUUCCAUCCCAGUCCCUCCCAGUCUCCUCCCAGUACAUCCUAGUAACUCCCAGUCCCUCCCAAUUCCCUCCCAGUCCAAUUCCAGUCCCUCCCAGUCCUUCUCAAUCCCAUUUCAUUCCAUCCCAGUUCCUCCCAGUCUCCUCCCAGUACAUCCCAGUCCAAUUCAAGCCUUUCCCAGUGCAACCUCAUCCUCUCCCAGUCCCUCCCAGUCCCAUUUCAUUCCCUCCCAGUCCAUCCCAGUCCAAUUCCAGUCCUUCCCAUCCCCUCCCAGUCCAUCCCAGUGCUCCCAGUUGUAACCAGUCUCCCUUUGCAGCACCUCCAUAUCUCUGGAUGAGGAGAAGAGCGCGGCGGCGGUGGCGGCCGUUUGCUCCUACCUGAGGCUGCAGGGGGUGAAGCCCAAGGGGGGCAGUGGAGACGCCAAGAAACCCAAAGGCCACUUCUUCCGGAAGAAGGUAAUUAAGCACCGCCCUCGUUAGCUCGUUAAUUAGUGAAUUACUUAAUUAGUCAGCCGCAGUCCCGUGAAAUAACCCCCAUUUGUUUAUUGGGGGGGGGGUGGAAAAUGAACCCCUUUUGGGGGGUGUAGGGGUGCCCCCGUGCUUUUACUAAUUAAUUAGCGGUGUAAUUAGUGGUUAAUUAGUGAUUAAUAACAGCUUCAUUAGUGAUCUAUACCCCCCCCCCAUACACACGCUUAGUAACCCCAAUUAGCUCUUUUCGGGGGGAAAAUUGAGCCCCUUAAUGAGUCCGUAGCGCCCCCUCCCGCUCUUCCUAAUUAACUAAUUGCGUCAUUAAUGAUUAAUUAGGGAUUAAUAAUCACUUCGUUAACGAGCCGUGGUGUUUCCUGUACCAAAUGACCCCAUUCAGCCUUCCUGAACCCCUCCUUUGGGGUACAGCGGGGCGCCCCGUUGUUCCUAAUUAACGAGCGGUGUAAUUAACGGUUAAUUAGCGCUCAUUAAGCGGUUCGUUAGCGGUUCAUUAACGACUCGCUGCGCUGUUUCCUACAUUUAAUUACCCAACUCAAUGGUUUUCAAGAGGAAAGAACCCAUCUAUUAGGGAAAAGCGCUGCCCUCCGCUCUUACUAAUUAUCUAAGGGCGUAAUUAGUGAUUAAUUAGCAAUUAAUGGGUGGUUUAUUAAUGAGUUCCUGCAUCAAACAAACCCAACUCGCUGAUUCUGGGUGAAGAAUAAACCUCCCUGUUUGCUGGACGGCUGCUGUUGA
This is a long non-coding RNA of Phasianus colchicus (ring-necked pheasant), 1631 nucleotides long. NCBI's taxonomy places the organism in Eukaryota, Metazoa, Chordata, Aves, Galliformes, Phasianidae. The record is from Ensembl.